Molecule: ribosomal RNA, 253 nt
Filed under: uncultured bacterium
Lineage: Bacteria
Description: partial 16S ribosomal RNA
Rfam family: Bacterial small subunit ribosomal RNA
Source: RNAcentral
UACGUAGGGUGCAAGCGUUGUCCGGAAUUAUUGGGCGUAAAGAGCUCGUAGGCGGUCUGUCGCGUCGGAUGUGAAAACCCAGGGCUCAACCCUGGGCCUGCAUUCGAUACGGGCAGACUAGAGUUCGGUAGGGGAGAAUGGAAUUCCUGGUGUAGCGGUGGAAUGCGCAGAUAUCAGGAGGAACACCGAUGGCGAAGGCGGUUCUCUGGGCCUUACCUGACACUGAGGAGCGAAGGCCAGGGGAGCAAACGGG